GUACGAGCCGAGAGGGAGCAAUCUAUAGGCGUCGUCUGUGGAUCAUUAAUGUCCGGUAUCUACCUGGAGGUAAACCAUAUACAGAUUUUCCGGUUUCUUUCUCAUAACAGAACCUAUCAACCAUCGCCUGCGGUUAGCACACGCAACGCAACCCACAUUCUAUCCAAACGGAGACACUGAAAAUGACAUAAUACCGGACUACUAUGGAAGAUAUCAAAGAAGACAGCUGUACCGGAAACGAUGAAGAACUAGAACAGAUGACAUACGGCUGUGACCAACAUGAAAGGUCUCCCUUGAUAAACAACACAACUUGGCGGUGACCAUACCAUUAACAGCAAACACAAUCUACAUUAACGGCUUAUGGAAUCAGUAGUUUCGAUUAUUGAUGUGUCCCAGAAAUAGAACUGACUUUAUAAUUUCUGGAGAAAAUGCAAUUUGCAAAGGGAAUACUUUAGACAAGCCCAUUAAGAAUUUAUAUCCUUUAUUGCAUCAUGAUCUACGCGCUGUUUUUAGAUCGUAAAUUAAUAUGCGAUUAACACCAGUCUAAGCCAAACACGUACUUUGAGUGAUGUGGAUAAGAAUAAUUCAAUUAAUUUAAUUUACGGCCGAAAACAAGACAUAAAACACACGUAGAAGCUUUAUCGAUUAUACAGGUGAACCAAAAACAACUGAAACAGGUGUGAACGGAUUUGUGGUUGAUCUGUACGC
Long non-coding RNA from Mizuhopecten yessoensis (Yesso scallop), 708 nucleotides. RefSeq lists it as uncharacterized. NCBI's taxonomy places the organism in Eukaryota, Metazoa, Mollusca, Bivalvia, Pectinida, Pectinidae. The transcript is spliced from 3 exons. The record is from RefSeq and is a predicted model, not a curated record.